RNAcentral lists this ribosomal RNA (119 nucleotides) under Pteropus alecto (black flying fox). The record is from RNAcentral. Lineage: Eukaryota; Metazoa; Chordata; Mammalia; Chiroptera; Pteropodidae.
GUCUAUGGCCAUGCCACCCUGAACAAGCCAGAUGUCUGAUCUCAGAAACUAAGCAGAGUCAGGCCUGGUUAGUACUUGGAUGGUGGGAGACUACCUAGAAGGACCAGGUGCCGUAGGCA